AUGGUAGCUUUCAGAGAUACAUUGGAAACCUGCGGUUUGGUGGAUCUUGGAUUCGUUGGUGCCCCAUUUACUUAUGAUAACAAGAGGUCGGGUUCUGGAAAUGUGCACGUACGUUUGGACAGAGCUGUAGCUACAAAUGAUUGGAGAAAUAUGUUUGCCUUUUCAUCAGUUCUGCAUGUCCCGUCUCCUUGUUCCGACCAUGUGGCUUUGGUACUUAAAAGUUCACCUGAUGAGGUUCCGACGGGGCCAAGAAGCAGGAGGUAUGAACUCUUCUGGGAGAGAGAUGGGACAUUACCAGAAGUGAUAAAAAAUGCUUGGGAGGCGGUUGGAGGUGUGCAAAACAUUGGCCAACUGCGGGAUGCAUUGACUAAAACAAUGUUGUCUCUCGGAUCAUGGAGCAAGAAAUUUGGUAACGUUACGAGGGAGCUAGCCAAGUCUAGGUCGCAAUUGGAGGAGCUUAUGCAUAUGAAUGCAGAUCAACAGGACAUCCGGAGGGUGACGGAUAAAAUGAAUGAGUUGCUAUAUCAAGAAGAG
RNAcentral lists this ribosomal RNA (534 nucleotides) under Triticum aestivum (bread wheat). RNAcentral describes it as "partial small subunit ribosomal RNA". The record is from RNAcentral. Lineage: Eukaryota; Viridiplantae; Streptophyta; Magnoliopsida; Poales; Poaceae.